CUGCCCAGGACCCUCUGCCUGCCUCCCCCAGAGCCCAGCGCCUUCAGAGCCCUCUGCAGAAGGUUUGGCACAGGGCGGCCCAUCUGUGUGUCCGUUCCACCCAGGAGCUUCUCGGCACUGUGCCGGAGUGGUCAGGGUUGCUCUGUCAUCUGCCCACAGUGUACUAUGAGGGGCUGCAGGACAAGCUGGCACAGAUCCGCGAUGCCCGGGGGGCGCUGAGUGCCCUGCGCGAAGAGCACCGGGAGAAGCUUCGCCGAGCAGCCGAGGAGGCAGAGCGCCAGCGCCAGAUCCAGCUGGCCCAGAAGCUGGAGAUAAUGCGGCAGAAGAAGCAGGGGCCUCUCUUGGCAGCCACAGCCAAGGGUGGAGGCUUCAGGUCUCCAGCUUCUCUGCUUCUCAGCUGUCAUCUCCAGUGCCCCAGAAUGGUACAGCGAUAAUAAAAUGUAUUUCAG
RNAcentral lists this small RNA (449 nucleotides) under Pongo abelii (Sumatran orangutan). RNAcentral's name for it is "retained intron". The record is from RNAcentral. Lineage: Eukaryota; Metazoa; Chordata; Mammalia; Primates; Hominidae.